GGAGGCCCUGGAGGGCGCUGGCGCCACCGUCACCCUCAAGUGAUGAUCUCCUGAUCGCUUACGCGAAAGGACCCCCGGAUCUCUCCGGGGGUCCUUUUCCA
RNAcentral lists this transfer RNA (101 nucleotides) under Nesterenkonia alkaliphila. Its description in RNAcentral is "tRNA-Leu". The record is from RNAcentral. Lineage: Bacteria; Bacillati; Actinomycetota; Actinomycetes; Micrococcales; Micrococcaceae.